GGGGGUGACAUGGCUUCGACGGGAGCAGUCUGUCACAGGCUGCGUGCCGGCUUGAGGAACGCCGUAAAAAUUCCUCAAAAAAAUAGACGCAAACAAUACAGAUUAUAGACCGGCUUACGCAGUAGCAGCGUAAGUUUAACAAACUUACGGUCCCUCGCACCUCUCUUUGCCCUCUAAGAGAGGAUUUUGCGGGGUCAUCCUCUAGAGGGCUUGGAUGAGCGGUUGCCUAGCCGCUCAUCGACACCUUUAGGCUGGGUUGAUACAGGUUUCGGGCGCUGAACCUGUAUCAACCGAGAUUGAUCAGCGCUACUACGCACGUAGAGGCCUGUGGUGGGUUGUUUCCGGACUCGGGUUCGAUUCCCGACACCUCCACCA
Molecule: transfer-messenger RNA, 375 nt
Filed under: Nitratiruptor sp. SB155-2
Lineage: Bacteria; Pseudomonadati; Campylobacterota; Epsilonproteobacteria; Nautiliales; Nitratiruptoraceae
Also listed under: 1 other name
Rfam family: transfer-messenger RNA
About the family: Bacterial tmRNA, also known as 10Sa RNA or SsrA, is named for its dual tRNA and mRNA-like properties.
Source: Rfam by way of RNAcentral